Non-coding RNA from Pelobates cultripes (western spadefoot toad), 205 nucleotides. NCBI's taxonomy places the organism in Eukaryota, Metazoa, Chordata, Amphibia, Anura, Pelobatidae. The record is from the annotation of a GenBank genome assembly.
CUCACAUACCUGUCCCUUGCUCUCUCCUAAAGGGCAGCACUCUAUUCUCUCCUCCAGCUCUGCUUCACUCCACCUUGUUUGAUUGAUAUCUUUUGUCCUGUUGUGUUUUAUGCCCCACCUCCUAUAGACUGUAAGUUUGUUUCAGCAGGGCCCUCUUCAACCUAUUGUUCCCGUAAGUUUUUGUAAUUGUCUCAUUUAUUGUUAA